This 537-nucleotide ribosomal RNA is filed under the name Salmonella enterica subsp. enterica serovar Infantis. RNAcentral describes it as "partial 23S ribosomal RNA". It matches the Rfam family "Bacterial large subunit ribosomal RNA", at positions 711 to 1221 of the family's 2925-position model. RNAcentral also lists the same sequence under 5 other names. The record is from RNAcentral. Lineage: Bacteria; Pseudomonadati; Pseudomonadota; Gammaproteobacteria; Enterobacterales; Enterobacteriaceae.
AGACCCGAAACCCGGUGAUCUAGCCAUGGGCAGGUUGAAGGUUGGGUAACACUAACUGGAGGACCGAACCGACUAAUGUUGAAAAAUUAGCGGAUGACCUGUGGCUGGGGGUGAAAGGCCAAUCAAACCGGGAGAUAGCUGGUUCUCCCCGAAAGCUAUUUAGGUAGCGCCUCGUGAAUUCAUCUCCGGGGGUAGAGCACUGUUUCGGCUAGGGGGCCAUCCCGGCUUACCAACCCGAUGCAAACUGCGAAUACCGGAGAAUGUUAUCACGGGAGACACACGGCGGGUGCUAACGUCCGUCGUGAAGAGGGAAACAACCCAGACCGCCAGCUAAGGUCCCAAAGUCAUGGUUAAGUGGGAAACGAUGUGGGAAGGCCCAGACAGCCAGGAUGUUGGCUUAGAAGCAGCCAUCAUUUAAAGAAAGCGUAAUAGCUCACUGGUCGAGUCGGCCUGCGCGGAAGAUGUAACGGGGCUAAACCAUGCACCGAAGCUGCGGCAGCGAACGUAUCACUUAAAGCGAUUCAGCGGGUUACGAUU